Non-coding RNA from Geobacillus sp. WCH70, 164 nucleotides. NCBI's taxonomy places the organism in Bacteria, Bacillati, Bacillota, Bacilli, Caryophanales, Anoxybacillaceae. The record is from Rfam.
CUCUUAUCAAGAGUUGGCUGAGGGAAUUGGCCCAAUGAAGCCCAGCAACCGACCGUAAUACUAUCGUGAGAUAGGGCGCACUUUUUGGCGCCGGAAGUUCGCUACUUCCGCAGGGCACGGUGCUAAGUCCAACAGAAAGACUCGUUCUUUCUGAAAGAUAAGAG